Molecule: microRNA precursor, 94 nt
Filed under: Marmota marmota marmota (Alpine marmot)
Lineage: Eukaryota; Metazoa; Chordata; Mammalia; Rodentia; Sciuridae
Also listed under: 4 other names
Description: mir-337 microRNA precursor family
Rfam family: mir-337 microRNA precursor family
Source: Rfam by way of RNAcentral
GUUGUCAGCAGUUGGGGGGUGAGAACGGCUCCAUGCAGGAGGUGACUGCUAAAUUCUCCAGCUCCUAGAUGGUGCCUUUCUUCAUCCCCUCCAA